CAGUCGAGCGUAAUUAUUACGUUAGGAAAGUCCAUGCUGACACAAUCUGUGAUGAUUGUAAGUGUUUAUGCUAGGGGAAUAAAUAACCCUAGGUACCUUAAUGGUAACGGCGGAGAAAUUGAUGUAAAAGGCAAGAGUAUCCAUAAAGUGCCACAGAGACGAGUCUUAAGAAAUACUUAAGAUAUGAAACGUUGGUAAACCCCUUAAGUCAGAAACCCAAAUUUUGGUAGGGGAGUCAUAUUUUGGGAAUAAGAACUAAAAUAUGGUCAGUUAGCUGAAGAUAGAUGACUGUCUACUACAGAACAUGGCUUAUAG
RNAcentral lists this RNase P RNA (315 nucleotides) under bovine gut metagenome. RNAcentral's name for it is "Bacterial RNase P class B". It matches the Rfam family "Bacterial RNase P class B". Rfam says of the family: Ribonuclease P (RNase P) is a ubiquitous endoribonuclease, found in archaea, bacteria and eukarya as well as chloroplasts and mitochondria. Its best characterised activity is the generation of mature 5'-ends of tRNAs by cleaving the 5'-leader elements of precursor-tRNAs. Cellular RNase Ps are ribonucleoproteins. The record is from RNAcentral.